This 67-nucleotide transfer RNA is filed under the name Bursa tuberosissima. RNAcentral's name for it is "tRNA-His". The record is from RNAcentral. Lineage: Eukaryota; Metazoa; Mollusca; Gastropoda; Littorinimorpha; Bursidae.
AUCAAGUUAGUUUAUUCUAAAACAUCAAUCUGUGGAGUUGAARAUAAAAUUUAUACUUUACUUGAUC